Molecule: long non-coding RNA, 1559 nt
Filed under: Nicotiana tabacum (common tobacco)
Lineage: Eukaryota; Viridiplantae; Streptophyta; Magnoliopsida; Solanales; Solanaceae
Description: long non-coding RNA (NTAB_LNC015668)
Source: RNAcentral
CCAACUUUGAUACUCACUCAAUCUCCUCCACCUUCUACCUUCCUCUUCCCCAUCCUUCCUUAUCAUCCAAUCCCUUUCUCUUCAUUAUUAUAUAUAUACAGAGGUAUGUAAUUUCAAAAUUAAAUUCAUUUCUAUCAUUUAAAGUUGCAUGUUUCUUUUUGAUUAAUCAAACCUUUUUGUCUGAAUCCAAAUGAAAAGCAAAAGCACGCCAAUCUUAUUCCUCUAUUUUUGGUUUUAGAUAUAAACAUUCCAAUUAACCAAAAGUUUGAAAUAGCUUAACUGUUGUUAUAAUUGUGCUGGAUUAGUCUUGUUGAGGCAAUUUCUCAAGUAAUUCCACCGUUUCAAUUUGUAUGAACCUAUUUUCUUUUUAGUAAGUUUCAAAAAAAUAAACUUUUUUCUAAUAAAGAAACUCUUUAUUUUAAAUUUUCAAUAUUAAAGCUUUUACCGUCACACAAAUCGUAUGCUACGUUUUACACCACAAGUUUCAAAAGAUUUUAUAGUCACACAAAUAUUAUGGGGUAUUUACAACCAUAAAUUUUAAAAAUCUUUUUUUUUCUUAAACUUUGUAUCCACUCAAAUAUAUAUGUUCAUAUAAUUUAAAAUGGAGGAAGUUGCAAUUAGCUAAAAAGAAGCCAUCUAUAUAUUGUCUCGCUUCUGUACGUUUAAAGUUAUUUUACCUUUUUUCCCCUCAUUUUAUCUCAUGUAUUCCAAGCCUCUCUCUUGAAUUCUAAGAUACUAAAGCAUGUGCUUAUCACUCGAUGUACUCUCAAGUCUCACCCUUAUGUUUACCUUAAACUUUUCAAAGUACUCAAGGAUAUAAAUCUAAAAUAUGUUGUACGCUUGGUAAAUUAUUUGUGAGAACAUUUUCAGUGUUGAUCAGGUAUAAGGUAGGUAACUAAUAUAAUAGUAGAAUUUGGGUGAGUGAGUAUGGAAGAGGUCUUUCGGUGAUAAUUUGAAUGUUAAGUUUGACAAAAUGUUAACAUAUGUUUGGUUUAAACAAGUGGAAUGAAUUAAGAUAUGUAGGGACUAAUGUGUUUGAUUUAACUACAUAAACUUUUAUUUCUAAUUUAAUCUUAGCUUUUUUAAAGGCUUUUACAGGAAAAUUUCUUAAUGAACAACAUUCUAUGUGAUGGAUGCUAAAAACACCCGAUUUGUAUUUAAGAAGAAACACAUUUUGAGAGAGUUGCUUCAGUCAAAGUGAACCAGUGUUCUUGCAGCCAAACAAAAGACACUGCGAUGGAAGAAGUUAAAGCUGAAGAAUUCUACAUAAGGAAUCAGAAUUCAACAAAAAUAAUUGGGUUUUACUGUAAAGGGACAUGAAUUUUCAAAUAUUCUCUGCCAGACGCUACAUUGAAAUAUUCAUCGUAGCUGGAUAUUAAUGUAUUUUUGGUCAUUUUUUAUUCUUAUAUCACGUUAGUGGCAUUUUCCUGUAUUCUAUAUCUCAUUAUUUAGCCAGUAAUUUUCCUGCUUGGUGAUAAGAAUGCGUGGAAAAAAAGGGUCACAAAUGAAAGUGUACUGAAGCUUCAUAUAUAUCCACAUAAAAAAAAAAUUACAACAAA